GGUGUAACAGUCCAUUCUGGCAAAUUGCUCUCGGAUGCGCUCACUCAAGCACGGCUCAUAUCGGUGGGGUCCUGAGGAAAUACUAUUCAUGGGAACAGCAGAAGAAGUCCCUAGAAGUGCUGGAGACCCACAGCAGAGGACAGAGUGAAGAAACAUCUCUGAGCCCCCCACACAAGAGGCAGGGAGGAUUUGGCUGCUCUCCGCUCUGUUUGGCAGCCAGCAAGCACACAUGCAUGAGGUUAGGUUCAGAAAUUUGACCGAUGAUCUUCUCCUGUGCUGGUUGGAAAACACUCAUCUGUUAUCCACAGCUUUAAAAAGGAAGAUGCAUAGACAUCUUUUGGCACAACACUGAGGGAAGUUGCUCCUUCAGUAUCUAUCAGGUGCCUCCUUAAUCACAGGAAAGCUGUUCCAGGAGGUGAUUC
Molecule: long non-coding RNA, 422 nt
Filed under: Numida meleagris (helmeted guineafowl)
Lineage: Eukaryota; Metazoa; Chordata; Aves; Galliformes; Numididae
Description: lncRNA (ENSNMEG00000004887.1)
Source: RNAcentral